AACGAACGCUGGCGGCAGGCCUAACACAUGCAAGUCGAGCGAGGACUUCGGUCCUACCGGCGGACGGGUGAGUAACGCGUGGGAACGUGCCCUUUGCUUCGGAAUAGCCCUGGGAAACUGGGAGUAAUACCGGAUGAGCCCUUUGGGGGAAAGAUUUAUCGGCGAAGGAUCGGCCCGCGUUGGAUUAGGUAGUUGGUGGGGUAAUGGCCUACCAAGCCGACGAUCCAUAGCUGGUUUGAGAGGAUGAUCAGCCACACUGGGACUGAGACACGGCCCAGACUCCUACGGGAGGCAGCAGUGGGGAAUCUUAGACAAUGGGGGAAACCCUGAUCGAGCCAUGCCGCGUGAGCGAUGAAGGCCUUAGGGUUGUAAAGCUCUUUCAGCUGGGAAGAUAAUGACGGUACCAGCAGAAGAAGCCCCGGCUAACUCCGUG
This 433-nucleotide ribosomal RNA is filed under the name uncultured bacterium. RNAcentral's name for it is "partial 16S ribosomal RNA". It matches the Rfam family "Bacterial small subunit ribosomal RNA", at positions 29 to 507 of the family's 1533-position model. The record is from RNAcentral.